Molecule: long non-coding RNA, 664 nt
Filed under: Solanum tuberosum (potato)
Lineage: Eukaryota; Viridiplantae; Streptophyta; Magnoliopsida; Solanales; Solanaceae
Description: long non-coding RNA (STUB_LNC004982)
Source: RNAcentral
UCUCUUCCUAUGUAUAUGUAUUUCAUAAUGUAUCUUGUAUCAAAGAUACAUGUUGAUUCUCUAGCGCGCCUCUCUUUUCUAUCGCACGCCUCUUCCUUCUCUCGCUCACCUCUAUAUGUACUUGUAUUUCAAAAUGUAUCUGGUAUCAAAGAUACAUAUAUCUAGUAUCUGUGAUACAUGUAUAUGAUCACUUGUAAUCUUAUACAAAAUUACUAAUUAGUGAGACAAUAUAUAAUUAUUUCAAACUACAGAAUGGAUUAAUAUGUAUUGUAGAAAUAUUUAUGUAAUUAGAUAAUUCUUCCUUGAAAAAAAUAGAUCAUCAACACAGAAAAUUAAACUUGGGCUCAUAAACGCUAGGCCUCUUUGUCAUGUUGGACCACUACCUGCAACUUAUAAUUGGGCUUUCCUUAAGCUCAACUAACUAUAAAUAGCCCAAUCUAACCAAUUUUUGGCACUAUAAUUUAAAAAAGAGAAAAUUGUGUAAUACAACAAACUAUUAAUUCAAAAUAAAUGCUAUAGCUACAUUUUAAUUUAAGGAAAAAUCACACCAUAUACACAUUUAAGAGACAAUAUUACGGAUUUUAAACCUACUCUUAAAAAAAUCUUACUAAUAACAGUUUAUUUACGGGUUAUAACAUAUCAAUUAAAUUUAACUUUAUUUAAA